GUUUUGAAAAAAAAAAAAACAUAUACUUGGAUCGAUACAGAGAAUAUUAGCAUGGCCCCUGCGAAAAGGA
Danio rerio (zebrafish) is the source of this 70-nucleotide small nuclear RNA. NCBI's taxonomy places the organism in Eukaryota, Metazoa, Chordata, Actinopteri, Cypriniformes, Danionidae. The record is from Ensembl.